This 468-nucleotide ribosomal RNA is filed under the name uncultured bacterium. RNAcentral's name for it is "partial 16S ribosomal RNA". It matches the Rfam family "Bacterial small subunit ribosomal RNA", at positions 28 to 507 of the family's 1533-position model. The record is from RNAcentral.
GACGAACGCUGGCGGCGUGCUUAACACAUGCAAGUCGAACGGAAAGGCCCUGCUUUUGUGGGGUGCUCGAGUGGCGAACGGGUGAGUAACACGUGAGUAACCUGCCCUUGACUUUGGGAUAACUUCAGGAAACUGGGGCUAAUACCGGAUAGGAGCUCCUGCUGCAUGGUGGGGGUUGGAAAGUUUCGGCGGUUGGGGAUGGACUCGCGGCUUAUCAGCUUGUUGGUGGGGUAGUGGCUUACCAAGGCUUUGACGGGUAGCCGGCCUGAGAGGGUGACCGGCCACAUUGGGACUGAGAUAUGGCCCAGACUCCUACGGGAGGCAGCAGUGGGGAAUAUUGCACAAUGGGCGGAAGCCUGAUGCAGCAACGCCGCGUGCGGGAUGACGGCUUUCGGGUUGUAAACCGCUUUCGCCUGUGACGAAGCGUGAGUGACGGUAAUGGGUAAAGAAGCACCGGCUAACUACGUG